GACGAACGCUGGCGGCGUGCUUAACACAUGCAAGUCGAACGAAGAGCGAUGGAAGCUUGCUUCUAUCAAUCUUAGUGGCGCACGGGUGAGUAACGCGUAAUCAACCUUCCCUUCAGAGGGGGACAACAGUUGGAAACGACUGCUAAUACCGCAUACGAUCCGACCUCGGCAUCGAGGAGGGAUUAAAGGUUGCCUCUAUUUAUAAGCUCUCACUGAAGGAGGGGAGUGCGUCUGAUUAGGUAGUUGGAGGGGCAACGGCCCACCAAGGCAAGGGUCCGUAGGCGGUGUGAGAGGAUGAUCAGCCACAGUGGAACGUAGACACGGGCCAGACUCCUACGGGAGGCAGCAGUGGGGAAUAUUGGAGAAUGGGGGCAAGCCUUAUCCAACCAUACCGCGGGGGUGAAGAAGGCCUUCGGGUUGUAAAGCCUUUUUGUUGGGAAAGAAAAGCAGCAGGUUAAAACCCCGCUGUUCUGACGGUACCCAAAGAAUAAGCACCGGCUAACUUCGUG
This 509-nucleotide ribosomal RNA is filed under the name uncultured bacterium. RNAcentral's name for it is "partial 16S ribosomal RNA". It matches the Rfam family "Bacterial small subunit ribosomal RNA", at positions 28 to 507 of the family's 1533-position model. The record is from RNAcentral.